This 65-nucleotide microRNA precursor is filed under the name Gyrodactylus salaris (gyrodactylosis fluke). Its description in RNAcentral is "microRNA gsa-mir-9403 precursor". The record is from miRBase by way of RNAcentral. Lineage: Eukaryota; Metazoa; Platyhelminthes; Monogenea; Gyrodactylidea; Gyrodactylidae.
UAUUUUGCCUAUUUAACAGACAGACACCUAAUCAAGUCUCUGUGUGGUGAAUAAGAGAGAAUAUU